UUACAUGAGUACAUUUACAUGAGUACAUUUACAUAAGUACAUUUACAUGAUUACCUUUACAUGAUUACGUUUACAUAGAUAAUAUAUGACGAGUUAUCAUUACAUUAAUUAUGUAUAGAUAUUGUUAUGAAAUCCUCAUUCUUACCUUUACCUUGUGAUAAAAUCACAUAAUCGACGAGAUAGAUUGGAUUUAAUAUCCUAGUACCAAACGGUACGUUGUGGGAUUGACCAUUCCUAGAAUCUCUGUUAGCUACAGAGGUAAAAGCACAUCCACGGAUGUCAACGGUUGAUACCAUUACAGGUAUACUUUAAGGGAUUAACUAUUCCUAUACCCAGCUGUUAGCGACAGAGGUAAAUAUACAUCUACGGAUGUCUUAAAGUUAACACUGUUAGUUACCCUAGUACCAAAGGGUAAUAUUCAGGUUAGUUGUAUUAUUACCUUUAUUUUGUGACUCAAUCACAUAACCAAUGAGGUGAACUAUAUUUAAGUAUCCUAGUACCAAAGGAUACAAUUUCUUAUAAUAAUAAUAGUAACACAGUCGAGUCUUGGUAGAAGACUACAUAGAGAACAGUUAGGUCAUGGUAGAAGACUACAUGGAGAACAGUCAAGUCUUGGUAGAAGACUACAUUGAGAACAGUUAGGUCUUGGUAGAAGACACCCUUAUAUAAUAAUAGGAAUCAUAGGGAUUUCUAGGGUUUUUCAAACGUUUAUAGUUGUUCUACAAACAUUUUCAUACUUAUACGAGCUUUCUUUCAAAACAAUGUCAUGUCUUUAAUUACAAGUUCUACAAAUUAAGACACAUUAAUACUUAUGAUCUCACCAGCUUCAAAGCUGAUACUCACUUUCAAAAUUACUUGUAUCCUCAGGUCAUCUUAGACAGGUACCGAUGCAAGGAGAAAGGAAGAUGGAGCUUGUUCAAGACUUAUCUUUCAUUUUGAUUUAUGCUUUAGUAUUUAUCAAAAUUUGACAGAACACAUUUGUAUAAUAAUUAUGUUAUUAAUGCAAUGGAUGAUGUUGUUGCUUGUUUACUACUUUACAUUGUUGUGAUAUUAUACAUGACGUCCUCCGCCCCAGAACGUUUCCGCCGUUCUUGGUUUUGGGGUGUGACAGAUUGGUAUCAGAGCAUUGUUUAUAGUGAAUUAAGUAUAUCAACCCAUAAAAGAUAUACUAACUAUAAAUACAUAAGGGAUUAAAAAUACUCUGACCAAGAGUUUAUACUUUAAAUAGUAAAAUAUUUAAGUAAGUAUACGUGCUGCAUUCAUACGAAAAUCAGUGUCACUAGGACAGUACAAAAGAAUUACGAUUGUUGGGCAACACAAGUGGGCUUAGAGACAUAUGGUCAGAACUGGGAAGAUAUAGCCUGAUCACCUAUAUUAUCCGAGGGUUGACUAGCAUGUGCCUAAGUUUAAUUGUGUGGUUGCAACAAUGCUAAAAUCUUACAAACCCUACCACAAUGAGAACAAUAGAACAUAACAUUAAAAUUUAAAAUACUAUAGGAGUAUUUGGUGUUACUAUAAGUACUUUAUACUUGAGAAUUAAAACGGGAUCUUCAUUACUAAGUUGAUAGUUGCUAAGUGGAUACACUGAGGCUAUAUGUAAUUAGGAUGUUAUAGACUUAGAAUCUAUGAAAAUUUUGCCUUACCCCUAUUCUGUGUGAAUUUGGAACUAAGGUCACUUAUUCGAAGGUCUAUCCUAUUUAGAUUACGCAUAGCUGGUAUGCACUUCACAAAUAGCGAUAUAACUAAUGAAGGUUUUCUAAAUAAUUAUUUAGCUAGUUCAUCUAAUAAUUAUUCUCCUACCCUAAAUUCUCGCAUAGAAAUCAUAGCUGGACUCCAUCCCCUCAGCAACCAGUAUCUUCCGAAUGGAGUCAUAGCUGGUUGGUUUGGAGAAGAACCAGAGAAUGAUCAUUCUUUUCCUCGCGAAUGAUCACCAUGAUGAAGACCUUUCGUAUGAUGUUAACUCCGAACCAGAGGUUGAGAACCUACCCCGAGCAGCUCCCGUUCCAAUUCCUAACCCUCGUCCGGCUUUUCAUGGGCCAACCCCUGAGAGAGUGGAAUGCUUGGAAACAUGGAGCCAAGGACAAGAUCAGCCCAUGCCAUUUAAUGGCGACCGAAGUUUUUAUGACUUGAGCAAUGGGGGCUCAGCAGAUAGAGUCUUACCAAUCUUGGUCCGCAGAGUGGCCCGAAAUGAGAUUCAAGGCAGGACAGCCCUACAUCAGAUUACCGAAGUUGUCGCCAAUGCGAGAAUGCAUACCCUCCACACCGUUCGUCUAGAAGAUGCUCACGAGAGAUCAGAGAGAAACCAUGAAACCCUGCUACAAGCCCCGAUUGAACCCCGAGCUGAAGUUAUAGAGCUCCGAGUACACCAGAGGGUGUACGAAAGACACCUACUUGUUAUGGAUCGUCAACUGGUUGAACUGAGAGUUCACCAGGAGGAUGACCGUCGCCGGUAAUAGACGUGUUACUUUAUAUUCCUUAUAAAAAGGAAUCGUGUUUUCUAUCUAUGCCCGAUGUGGCAUUUUCUAUGAAAUUAUCUUGUACCGUAAGUACUUUAGUUAGGUCUUUAUGCUGUCAAGAACUAUCUCCUCUGGAUAUGAUGUAAGACCUUUACAAGGUCAUUUUCCCGAAUCUUUACAUCAUGAAUAUCAAAGAUAUUGACAGCCGACUAAUUUUUGUGUCAUUCUUCAUUCAAGUNGUCUAUCUGAAUCAUGCUUUAGUCAAGUCAUUGGACUAUAGUGAUUUAUCUCCGGAGACAUUUCCAAGUCUCUUUCAGUGGUUGGAUCUUGUUAUUCACCAACCCAUGAUACCUCGGCUUGCACAACAAACGUUUUGAGACCAUUCUACGAACUUACUUCUACUCAUUACUAGGACUGCAUCAUAGGGAUGUAGGUCAAACCUUCGCGAACAUACUUCCAUUCCGUACUAGGACUGCAUCAUAGGGAUGUAGGUCAAACUUUCGAGAACAUAGUCGUACUCUUUACAUGAACAAUCUAAGUACAUCAGGGUCAACCAGUAUUGCUCACAAAUUCCUUAUCUUUCGUGUUACAGAAUCAUGUCGUCAUCCAGAAACGAUCAGCCGAGCAUCGAAAUCCCUAUCCUCCAUAUCGACGCCGCUACAUUACAAGCUGUAGUAGCAGCUGCUGUGACAACUUUCCUUACACACAUCAACUCAGGCAACACCAAUAAGACUGAAAAAGGAGUCGAGAGUUUAGAUGGUAGUACCAAACCAGGAAACCAACAAAUAGUAACAGUCACUGACUCACAAAGCCGAAAGACAGAGAACAAGAAACGAAAGCGUCGAGCCCAGAAAGAACGCAAGAAAUCCCAAAAACUUGCUAUGCAACAGCAACAAGUGGAAACCCCUGCCAUCCCAGUACCGAGCAGGCCAUACGAGGGAAAACUCCCGAAGUGUGAUAGGUGUAGUUUCCAUCAUCAUGGGGCUUGCCAUGAGAUGCAGUGUUGCAAUUGCCUAAAAAUAGGGUACCAUGCUCGUGCCUGUGGAGCACCGGCACGACCCAUCACUCAAGUCCCUUUCAUCGGGACUAACCCUGCACACGAGAGUAGUUAUAACGCCGAAUGCUUUAGGAAGCAAUUUUCAAAGUGGAGUAAUGAGGAAGGCACUCGUGUCCACAUAACAUUGGCUAAACACCACAAUCCCAUCACCAAAGCUAGUACUAGCCAGUCAUGCCACCAAUGCGGGGAGAUAGCGCACUUCACGGAGGAUUUCCCUAUAGCAAAGAACUCAGGUGCUGAUGGGAAGAUUCUCAGGAUCACAGCUGCAGGAGAGCCUGCUCCGGAACCACGUUAAAUGUAACUUAGGCGUGUUCUUGUAACAGACUUAUAAACUAUCCAAGACUAGUGCAACUAGAGUCUUACCUUUUGCGAGAUCUUGUCUGUAUAGGGAUUCUCGUGCUGCGUAUACUUGUCUUUUGUAGUAUAUCUUAUUCGCAGGAAUAGUCUAGUGGUAAAUCUAAAGUACUGUAACUCUGUUCACGGUUGCACGGUUGUGUUUUGUCUGUAAACGUCUUAUGUUCAAAUCUAAUGUCUUUAAGUUUCAGUAUGAUUUCGACAUUAUCAUAUGAAUCGAUUUAAUUUGAUCGUCAUGAAAACAGCUUCAUGCGUAUGCCUCCUUUUCAGUAAACGCCUUUUCCAGUGAAACCGUCACAUCAGAACACCGAAGUACUCAUGCCAGGAGUACCUCUUAGUUAUUUUCUUUCCGAAGAAAUCCGUGAAGUACCACUCGUGCAGUACGUCAAGUUUAAACCAAGGAUUCAUGCGAUUGAUCUAUCAUUAAGGAAGGUAUACAUAAGAGUGAUAUAUAAUCAAGCUUCUACAGGUUUAGAAUUGAUGAUUCCACUUUAACUUUGUUUUCCCGGAUGGGAUAUGAACUUAAAGAAGAAUCAGUUAUUCGACUACCUUUUCAACCUUAAUUAUGUAUGACUCGUAUACACGAAAUGGUGAUUGUGAACCAAGUAUGAAUUCUAAUAUGAACUUCAGGACGGAGAACUGAUUAAGCCUACGAGUAAUCGCAUCGUCAUGCGAACAAACUUAGAACCCAGUACGACUCCCGUAAACAGAUCACCCUAUAGUUUAAACACCCACGGAGAUACAAGAACAAUCCGGACAACUUAGCGAAAUACACAGAAAUAGAAUUAGAAGACUAGGUUUCUCACCCUAGAGAACCCCGGUCAUAUUCUUACAGAGAUCAACGGAUCGCAUUGUAGGUACCUCGGUUAUCGAGGACUCCGUCGAGAUUUUUCAUUAGAAAUCGUUAUCUCUGCCUCGCGUAGACGAAAUGGUUGAGCAAAUGCAAGGAAAGAAACUACUUCCAGGAAUGGAUCCGAGAUCCGAAUAUUUCCAGUUCGAGUGUUAAGGAAAGAUGUCUGGAAGACUAUCUCCUAAAAUCGAUGCGGACACUUCGAGUCCGUAGUGAUACCCUUCGGAUAGGAGCAAUACGCCCAUAGCUUUCAUGAGCUAAACGAGUAGGGUACAUCUUUUUUACUUGGAUCAGUUUGUCAUUUCUCCAUGUAAUGACUUACUUAUCUACCCUUGUAGUAAGAAGGAACCCAUGGGAACAUUUCCUUCAGAGGAACUUUUAGCGAUGUUCUCAAAGCACGAGUUUUGAAAUUGAAGAGUCAAAUUUCUAAGACACACUGUUAGUAAUGUGAGAAAUUUUGAGUACUCUUUCAAUUUGUCAAAGCCGUUGAGCAUUUAUCGACACCAGAGACGCCGAAAGUCUUUCACCAAAUUCUAGGUCUUACCGACCUACCGCCUUAGUUCAUUCAGAACUCCUCGCAAGCUAUAGAAACUCGUACGACUUUGACCCAGCAAGGGGUGGCCUUUGACUGGGAAGUUACGCAAGAAAAGGAACCUUUGAGAUUCCAAGUGAGUGACCAAGUUCUUUAGGAUAACUCACUCUGGGAAUGGCUUAAUACGCUUCGUAAAGCGUGGAAAGCUAAAUCCAAGUUAGACAGGACCUCCGAGAUUCUUAUCAGAAUCGGUCCUGUGCCUCACACAAACUAGACCUACUCCGCGAACUCAGUAACGUACUUUCUACUCUUCGCGUCUCGAUCGUGAAACCAUACCUUUCCGUUAGGACUCUUGUAAGUCCACUCGUCGAGAUCCUCGCCUUCGUAUUAGAACCGUAGUGACCCUCGACCGAGAGGUCAAGCGGACGAAGCAACGCCGUCGCCAGUUAGUGAAGGUUCGUUGGAAUGCCAACCGAGAACCCGAUUUCACUUAGGUGCGCUAGAACCAAUCGAUUAGGAAGUUUCCUCCUCACGACUCGAUCAUUCGUACAUACUUCCUUGCCUAAAUUCUAAUUUCGGGACGAAAUUCCCUUCAACAGGGGGAUUUUGUGACAACCCGAAAUUUCCAUUCUGAACAAACCAUUUGAAGCCAAUAGAAGUAGAACAGUUACAGUGAAAACUCAGAUUUCGAGUAUAAGUUUGGCAGUUUUCAGGAUUUUACACUUAAGGAGAUAUUAGGAGAGUGGAUGCACUAGGGUUUUGUGCAACACUGUUAUUCCAAUACUCUAGGACAUUAGAGUUCGUUCCAGGAAUAAAAAUAUUUUCUGCCAAAAAUAUCUCAGGACUAUAAAUAGAAUUCUGAACCAAAUUGGUUCAUUUGUUGAAUUCCAUUUAGAGAAAAGUCCAAAUUCUCUCUCACGGAUCUUCGGGUUUUUAUCCCAAAUUGUGAGUAACUCUUUCUAGUAGUGUUAGAAAGCUUUAAAUGUGUUCAUAACAUAGAUUACAUAGCUAAAUCAUCCGAUUUAGGAGUUUACUCCCCAAGGUGUUCUUGGGCGGUAAACUCCCGAAACCAAGCCUAGAUUGUCCCCCGUGAUUAGUAACUACCUUGGACUUGUAUAGGAGUGUGUUAGGGACAUGAAAUCAACCAAGAACCACCCAAGUUUAGGAGUUCACGGCCCAAGAGUAGCUUAGGCCGUAAACUCCCUUGUAACAUGCUCAAAUGGUGCUUUUAAGGCACCUAAGGCUUAGACUUUAUUUUAGACAAGUACCCUAAAGUGUUUAAAGCCUAGAAAACAUAAGAAAUCACUAGUAUUGAGGAGUUUACGGCCAAGACAAGUUCUUGGGCCGUAAACACCUAUAAAGGGGUCAAAUGACACCCUAACUCCUUCCUUAAGCCAAGAGACCAAUUUGGGCAUGUACCUAAAUGAGUUUUGGACUAGCUAACACACUUAGAACACCAAGAGUAAGGGAGUUUACGGCCCAAAAGGUUCUAGGGCCGUGAACUCCAUAAAAUGGUGCCAAAUGGUGCCAUAAACUCUUCUAAAGCCAAGUACAAAAGCCUAGUUUAGUUCCUAGUUAAGUUAGAGACUUGAAAACACCAUAAACACCCUCCCAAGGGAGUUUACGGCCGUAAACUCCAAGGGAAUAUGGUCCCUGGGCCGUAAACUCCUUAAAGGAGUUAAUAUGACACCCAAACACUUGAUUUAGCCUUGAAACAAUUCACCACAUGAGUUGUAUAAUUGUUAGACUUCAUUUAGGGGCUUUGUUGAGAGUUUACAGCCAGGAGUUUACUCCCCUGGGCCGUAAACUCCAAGACAUAUGGUCAUUUGACCUUAAACUUCCAUUAGGGGCAUUGCACUCCUUUGUUGCAACCCAUUAGCCUCCUAGCACUUGACCAAAAGUGUUUUCCUCACGUUUAUAUGUUUAUACUUGUAUAAUUAGUGUUUUAAUCACUAAUUAUUUAUAUACAUAUGUUUUCAUAUGUAAUUAGGAUCAUUGUGUGUGUCUAAGUCUUCACUUGACACCAAGCACUUGUCCGAUCCUUCCGUACGAUAACAUGUCACACCCCGAAAACCAAAGGCGGAAACAUUUCCGGGGUUGACUCCAAGUUGAGUAUCAAAUCCAAUGCACAUAGUAAGUAAAGUAAACAACCAUCACAUUACAUAUCAAAGUUUACAUUUGUUCAAAAGUAAAGUUGUACAUUCAUAAUACAUAGUAUAUAUGAAAAAAAUAGAGACGAGUCUUCUGUACGCUUUGUCUUCUCCAAAAGGAUCGCUAGGUACCUGUCUAAUGUUGACCUGAGAAUACCAGCAGUUUGAAAAUCAGCAUAAAGCUGGUGAGUUCAUAAGAUGUUUGUUUUGUGAAAAUGUACAAGUUUCCUUUGGUUUACCGAAAAGUUGUUAUCCAAGAAAAUCCCAUAUUUUCUUAAAAGAGAAGGUUGGUUGAUUUUUAGGUUACACGGUUCUGGUUAUGUUUAACUAUGAUCCCAGAAAAGUCCCAUACUUUCCUGAUUGUAUAUUACUAAUUGUGAAAGAUAUAUAUAUAGUUAUCUAGUUUAUUACUCCUUUCUAGUUAUAUAACCUUUUCCCAGGAAAGUCCCAUACUUUCCUAAAAGAAAUAGUAGUUAUUGGAUUUUUAUAUACUAAUUGAUUUCCAUUCGUACUUAUUGUAUUAACUAGGUAUUCUGAUAUCCUAAUGGUGUUAUCUUGAAGUAUACUUAGAUACACAUCUUCGUAUUCGUGUUCUUAUUCUUAACAUAUUCUUAUACUUAUUCGUGUUCGUAUUCGUAUUCGUAGUCGUAUUCAUUUCCCUAUUCCUACUCCUAUUACUAUUCGUAUUCGUAUUCGUAUUCGUAGUCGUAUUCGUAUUCGUAUUCAUAGUCGUAUUCGUAUUCGUUCUGUUCCUAUUUAUAGUUUCGUUAUUCGUUCUGUUCCUAGUUAUAGUUUCGUUAUACUCUCUGUUCCUAGUUAUAGUUUCGUUAUUCGUUCUAUUUGAUGUUUAGUAUGAAUUAUUCGUAGAUUAUGAAACAUAAUUUAGAUUGCAACAUUUUAUCAAAACUCUAUGAUUAAUUUGAAAGCUAACUUCGUAAAUCGAACUAUUUCAUAAACACAAUCAUUGAUAUUAGAACAUACAGAAUGAAGUCAAUUGAACAGAAAAUGAUAAAUUGGAGUACAAGAUUUCCUUGUACUAUUGCUUGUAUUCCCCCUGAAAACAGUGAAAACAGUUGAAAAGAGUAGGGGUAUGAACUCACCGAACGAGAUUUGGAUGCUAAGUGUUGGUCCGGGGCUUGCAAACGCACGAGGUUCCUAAGUAUAAUGUAAAGAUACACAUUUGUAUCUAAUUAGGACUUAGAUUGAUUAUUUGAUAGGGACAAUUACUUCUAGUCGCGAAAACACCUCGAUACAAGUGUUUGGAGGGACCCGGGUGGCGUUUAAGGACGUGUAAUAGCACUAGGGAUUUGGGACUUGAGUUUACUCCCCAUGAAUAAACUUAUACAAGAGUUUUUGGUCUAAAACACCCAUUCCCCAUGAGUUUACGGCCGGAAACUCAUGGUGGGGUAGUUUAUGGUGCAAAAUGGCUUCAAACACUUAGGGAAUAAUUUCUAGGUUUGGUUUAAGGGCUUGGAAUAAUUUUUAAACACCUAAUAGACACAUUUAAGGGAGUUUACGGCCUAGCAUAGGACUCAUGGCCGUAAAAUCCUAUAAAUCCAUGAAAAAUUGUGUUUUUGGAUUCCAAACAAAUCACAUGUGAUUGCUAAAAUUGUUCCAAGGCCUUACAUAAAUUUUUAGGCAUAAAAUGACAUGUUUUUAGGAGUUUACGGCCAUGGAGCACCUUCUAUGGCCGUAACCUCUCAAAUGAAGAGUUUUGAUGUGUUUAAGGUCCUUAAACUAUUUUUGGUUGGUCCUAUGAUUUAUUCCAAGGCUUUUGGCGGUGUUGGAUGGCUUUCUAACACCUUGAAAUUGAUUUUACACCAUGUUUAAGGAGUUUACGGCCCAAGCACAUGCCUUGGUCAUAAACUCACAUAAGUCCCCCAAAAUUAUGUUUAAAGUGUUCCAAGGCUAAAGCAAUUAUUCUAGAAGUCAUAUCCAUGUCUUGUUGAGGUUUUAGAAGGGUUUAAGGGCUUAAAAACCCUUUAAUUAUGAGUUUACGGCCUAAACACUAUCCUUGGCUGUAAACUCACAUACAAGUCCCCAAAUUAUAGAUUAAGGCAUUCUAAGUCCAUUCCAUAAAGUCAUUAAGCCAUAUCUAAGUCCCAAAAUUGUUUAGGAGGGGUUUAAAGGCAUAAAAACCCACUUAUUAUGAGUUUACGGCCUAAGCUCCUUCCAGGGCCGUAAACUCAUAUACAAGGUCUUAAAUCAUGAUUUAGUCUCGAAUUUGAAGGUCAAAGAGGCUAUACAAUGAGUUUAGGAAGGUACCUUAAAGAUUUGGAGCCUAAAGUUGAUGAUUUGGACCCUUAAACUUGGAUUUUAGGAGAGAGGUUAGAGAGAGAGUAGAGAGAGGAAGAAAAAGCUUCAAAUGAAUGUUUAAACACGUUUAAAUAGUUCCUAAGUUCGGGACACGGUGGAAUUCUACCCGAUACCGACGUUAAACGGGGCUUUUGGUCGUACCCGAUUAAGUUGCCGUUACUCGAUAUGGUUGAUUUUAGAAAUAUUCCGUUCACUAAUACGAGGUGUUAGAAUGAGUUCUAAGGGUAUUAGGACACUCAUUAAGUCAUAAAAUAAAAUCCACAUUAAUGACUUAAUUAAUUGACGGAAAAUCGGAAACGAAAUCGGAAACAGCGAUUGGACGAUCGAAACGAGUCGUGAAAAGGGGUACAAGCAAUGAAACGAAAUUUCGGGUUGUUACAAUUUUCAAGACGAUUAAGACUCCCACUGACUCCUUGACAUAUAUGAUUCUCUUUUCAGGAAACUCUCCCAGACAAAACAAAAAAUUCAAGAGUUAGUGUAGUUCUUAUCAAGACAAAACACUUCACAUAAUUGGUCCUAGUUGGUCUCUGUCUUAUCCAAGACAUCACAACUCACCAAUUUCAAAUGUGCAAGAAUAAGAAAACUUUUCCAAUUUCCACAUUUGUUGAGUGUUAUAAACCUACUAAAGAUAUGUCACUUAAUUCAAAAUCUUGGAGCAUAACUCCAAGACUUGAUAUUGGAACGAAGUAUGAUUGACUUCUUGAUUUUAACCAUUUCCACAAUUCUUGAUUCCUCUUCUUAGACAUACAAAUGUACUAAGACUCACUUAGAGGAUCAAUUGAGAUAUGGAUCUUAAUCAUUAAGACUUAUCAUAAAACUCAAUAAAAGGUACUCUCCCUUCCUCUUAGGAAGGAUAAACUUUUAUCUUUCUACCUACUUGAUUCCUUUUAUUCGUUCUGCCAUUCAUUGAAACUCUUUCAAUUAACUUAAAAUUACACUUAAUCUUAUAAGUAUAAUCAUAUUUACUAAACUUUAGUAAAUCAUGAUGAAUAUCUUUAUUACUCUUGUGGUGGUCUUGAUCAACGUACAAUCUUGUGUACUCGAUCUCCUAGUCCUUCACUUGACACUCUGUCAAAGAAUUAAUCUAAUUUCCAAAUAUGAAAUUUCUCAUUCAUCAUGCAACCAAGUUGUAUGAUUCGAAGUUUCUAUCCAAUUGAAACUUGGACGAUGAGAAACUCUCCCUAUUUGGUAAAUUCUCGACAUUUCCACAAAUAACAUAAUUAAGAAUCAAAUCCAUUAUUGCUAAUAAUAGAAACUUUCAAACAUCAAUUUUUCAUACACGCCAUUACAAGGAUAAAUAAAUAAGAUAAAAUCAAAAUUCAUUUUAUUGCGGAAAAAAUUUGUCCUUACAAUGCAAUUCAAUUGAAAAACUAUGUUAUUACAUAUUUCUUAGCAAUCUAUUCUAACUCNUACAUGAUUACGUUUACAUAGAUAAUAUAUGACGAGUUAUCAUUACAUUUUAUAUGUAUAGAUAUUGUUACGAAAUCCUCAUUCUUACCUUUACCUUGUAACACAAUCACAUAAUCGACGAGAUAGAUUGGAUUUAAUAUCCUAGUACCAAAGGAUACGGUGCGGGAUUGACCAUUCCUAGAAUCUUUGUUAGCUACAAAGGUAAAAGCACAUCCACGGAUGUCAACGGUUGAUACCAUUACAGGUAUACUUUAAGGGAUUAACUAUUCCGAUACCCAGCUGUUAGCGACAGAGGUAAAUAUACAUCUACGGAUGUCUUAAAGUUAACACUGUUAGUUACCCUAGUACCAAAGGGUAAUAUUUAGGUUAGUUGUAUUAUUACCUUUAUUUUGUGACUCAAUUACAUAACCAAUGAGGUGAACUAUAUUUAAGUAUCCUAGCACCAAAGGAUACAAUUUCUUAUAAUAAUAAUAGUAACACAGUCGAGUCUUGGUAGAAGACUACAUUGAGAACAGUUAGGUCUUGGUAGAAGACUACAUGGAGAACAGUCAAGUCUUGGUAGAAGAAUACAUUGAGAACAGUUAGGUCUUGGUAGAAGACACCCUUAUAUAAUAAUCGGAAUCAUAGGGAUUUCUAGGGUUUUUCAAACGUUUAUAGUUGUUUUACAAACAUUUUCAUACUUAUACGAGCUUUCGUUCAAAACAGUGUCAAGUCUUUAAUUACAAGUUCUACAAAUUAAGACACAUUAAUACUUAUGAUCUCACCAGCUUCAAAGCUGAUACUCGCUUUCAAAAUUACUUGUAUCCUCAGGUCAUCUUAGACAGGUACCGAUGCAAGGAGAAAGGAAGAUGGAGCUUGUUCAAGACUUAUCUUUCAUUUUGAUUUAUGCUUUAGUAUUUAUCAAAAUUUGUCCGAACACAUUUGUAUAAUAAUUAUGUUAUUAAUGCAAUGGAUGAUGUUGUUGCUUGUUUACUACUUUACAUUGUUGUGAUAUUAUACAUGACGUCCUCCGCCCCAGAACGUUUCCGCCGUUCUUGGUUUUGGGGUGUGACAUACACUUAGCCACUCGAGGCUAAAGCUCUACUUAACCUUCCGGUCAAUGUGUCUCAGUGGGACCUUCCGGUCCCACACUCCGGUAGACCUUCCAGCCCUACCAUGAUUUGCCUUCUGACCCUAACUUUGGUUUCCUUCCGACCAUAACUCUGAUUGCCUUCCGGCCAUAACUCUGUCGACCUUCCGGUCCCAAGUCAUACAUCAUAUACAUAUCACAUAAGUCACAAAGCUCAUACCAAUAUAUAAGACCUUCCGGUCACAUAUCACAUAAGUCACAUAGCUCAUACAAAUAUAUAAGACCUUUCGGUCACAUAUCACAUAAGUCACAUAGCUCAUACAAAUAUAUAAGACCUUCCGGUCACUUAUCACAUAAAGUCUCAUAACUCAUUCAUACACAUAAGACCUUCCGGUCACACCUAGUUACCAUUCCAGGUAAGGUAUAGUGAAAAGACCCACCUGACACUGCUGAAGUCCUGCAGACUCAAUCCCACACUGCUAAAGUCCUACAGACUCAAUCCCAUACUACUGAAGUCCUACAGACUCAACCCCAGCUGCUGGAUGACAAAUUCCCGAUCUGUCAAUAUCAAAACAUCACCCAAUUAAUAAUUGGGUCCCAUUACAUAACCAUAAAUACAUACUUUGGAUAAUUACUAAAUUACCCCGGGCUUGGCUUUAUUUAAGCCCAAGGCCCAAUCCAUAGGCCCAAAGUCAAUUAGGAAUCAAAUCCCAACAUAUGGCCCAAUUUUCCAAAUUGGGCCUAGGCCUAUACAUGGUCUUAUUCUAAGGCCCAACCUCAUAGAAUCAUUACGGCCCAAACUAUGCCCCAUCUAUAACCCAAUUUUCCAAAUUGGGCCCAACUCCUCAUAUGGGCCUUACCCUAAAGCCCAUUAAUUAUUCUAGUCCAAUUGCCUGACUUUGGGUGGCCCAAUAAUAAUCCAAUCAUCAAGGCCCAAUAAUACACCCAAGUGAAAUUAGGGUUUUCACAUAAAAUGAUGAUUAGGGUUAAGUCUUCUCACUUAACCCAUUAAGCACUUAAUCCAUUAAGUCCACUAUUACUUAAAUUAAUUUCUUGCCAAUGAUUAUUAAUUAAUAUCUCCAGUUAUUAAAUAAUUCAUGUGUGUCCCGAUUAAUUCUCCAAAUAAGGGUUUCAAACCAAAAUACUAGCCCAUUAGGGUUUUAUUGGGUCCAUUAGAGUCCAUUAAGCUUCAUUGGGCCCAUUAGGGCUCACAAGGCCCAUUAGGGUUUCAAGCAUCCCUAAUCGAGUCAACUCACAAGACAAGCACACCGCCACCCGACACGGCGGCCGGUGGCGGCAAGAGGCGGCAGCCACCACCUCACGGUGGUGGUUCGAUUUAUCCUUUCAUUAUUCCAGUUUGGUUACAAAGAUACAACACGAUAAUCCAAUAAACGCACACACACACAAUAACACCUACACACACACCCAGCCACCCCUGCGGCGGCAAGCAACGGUUGGAGGUGGUGGUGAUGGCCUUUCCAUGAAUUCCGGUUACACAACAUACACACACACUUAACACAAUGUAGCAACAACACACAUACACACAAACACCUAAAUACAUAGCACAACUCGCACACAGCCACCUUCCACGGUGGCUAGUGGCGACGGAAAGUAAAACAACACGCGGAAGUGACGAAGAUGAGUGGAACAGUCGCUGGGGCGGCAGUGGACGAGGCUAAAAUGCACGGUUGGGUGACGGCAGCACGAAGAGGAGCAAGAAGAGGAUCAUAUGCGUCAUCUCAGAUGGAAGAAGUUCAGACACCGCCAUGAAUUUCCGACUACACACGCAUAUGGCGUACCUUGCCUUUGUUGAUGGCAGUACCGGCGGUCACAACCAACAACAAGUGACAUCGGUGUGUAACGGACGGCAGGAGCCGCGAUAGCAGCCUCUUGGUGGCUGUUGCAAGUUACCGACGAACAAAAGAAGAAGGAGAAAGAAUGAUGACGGCAGCAACUCGGUCAAACCACCGUAUGGCGGUAGUGUCAGCAACGAGGCUCGAUCAACACCCUCGAUUGGUCCUCCCCGAAAUGAAAACGGUCUUGGCGGCAUCCUCCGGCGACCCUAAGGUCCGAUGAUUCUUCAGAUGGCGGCAGUUAGAGAAGGAGGGUGGAAAGGGAGUGGGGUGGCGGCUGGAGGAUCAUACACGAUGGCUAGAGAGAAU
This 14356-nucleotide long non-coding RNA is filed under the name Lactuca sativa (garden lettuce). RNAcentral describes it as "long non-coding RNA (LSAT_LNC005551)". Lineage: Eukaryota; Viridiplantae; Streptophyta; Magnoliopsida; Asterales; Asteraceae. The record is from RNAcentral.